GACGAACGCUGGCGGCGUGCCUAAUACAUGCAAGUAGAACGCACAGUUUAUACCGUAGCUUGCUACACCAUAAACUGUGAGUUGCGAACGGGUGAGUAACGCGUAGGUAACCUGCCUGGUAGCGGGGGAUAACUAUUGGAGACGAUAGCUAAUACCGCAUAAUAUUGAUUAUUGCAUGAUAAUUGAUUGAAAGAUGCUAUUGCAUCACUACCAGAUGGACCUGCGUUGUAUUAGCUAGUAGGUGAGGUAACGGCUCACCUAGGCGACGAUACAUAGCCGACCUGAGAGGGUGAUCGGCCACACUGGGACUGAGACACGGCCCAGACUCCUACGGGAGGCAGCAGUAGGGAAUCUUCGGCAAUGGACGAAAGUCUGACCGAGCAACGCCGCGUGAGUGAAGAAGGUUUUCGGAUCGUAAAGCUCUGUUGUAAGAGAAGAACGGGUGUGAGAGUGGAAAGUUCACACUGUGACGGUAUCUGACCAGAAAGGGACGGCUAACUACGUG
RNAcentral lists this ribosomal RNA (505 nucleotides) under uncultured bacterium. Its description in RNAcentral is "partial 16S ribosomal RNA". It matches the Rfam family "Bacterial small subunit ribosomal RNA", at positions 28 to 507 of the family's 1533-position model. The record is from RNAcentral.